CAGUAGCCGCGGUAAUACGAAGGGUGCAAGCGUUAAUCGGAAUUACUGGGCGUAAAGGGCGUGUAGGCGGCCUGGGGCGUCCCAUGUGAAAGGCCACGGCUCAACCGUGGAGGAGCGUGGGAUACGCUCAGGCUAGAGGGUGGGAGAGGGUGGUGGAAUUCCCGGAGUAGCGGUGAAAUGCGCAGAUACCGGGAGGAACGCCGAUGGCAAAGGCAGCCACCUGGUCCACUUCUGACGCUGAGGCGCGAAAGCGUGGGGAGCAAACCGGAUUAGAUACCCCCGUAGUCCCUGUCUCUUAUAC
Molecule: ribosomal RNA, 301 nt
Filed under: uncultured bacterium
Lineage: Bacteria
Description: partial 16S ribosomal RNA
Rfam family: Bacterial small subunit ribosomal RNA
Source: RNAcentral